Molecule: ribosomal RNA, 456 nt
Filed under: uncultured bacterium
Lineage: Bacteria
Description: bacterial SSU rRNA
Rfam family: Bacterial small subunit ribosomal RNA
Source: RNAcentral
UCAGUUGUGAAAGUUUGCGGCUCAACCGUAAAAUUGCAGUUGAUACUGGAUGUCUUGAGUGCAGUUGGGGCAGGCGGAAUUCGUGGUGUAGCGGUGAAAUGCUUAGAUAUCACGAAGAACUCCGAUUGCGAAGGCAGCCUGCUAAGCUGCAACUGACAUUGAGGCUCGAAAGUGUGGGUAUCAAACAGGAUUAGAUACCCUGGUAGUCCACACGGUAAACGAUGAAUACUCGCUGUUUGCGAUAUACGGCAAGCGGCCAAGCGAAAGCGUUAAGUAUUCCACCUGGGGAGUACGCCGGCAACGGUGAAACUCAAAGGAAUUGACGGGGGCCCGCACAAGCGGAGGAACAUGUGGUUUAAUUCGAUGAUACGCGAGGAACCUUACCCGGGCUUAAAUUGCACUCGAAUGAUCCGGAAACGGUUCAGCUAGCAAUAGCGAGUGUGAAGGUGCUGCAUG